Mastomys coucha (southern multimammate mouse) is the source of this 515-nucleotide long non-coding RNA. RefSeq lists it as uncharacterized. The transcript is spliced from 4 exons. The record is from RefSeq and is a predicted model, not a curated record. NCBI's taxonomy places the organism in Eukaryota, Metazoa, Chordata, Mammalia, Rodentia, Muridae.
CUCUAAAGAUUCUCCCUCCCUCUCCCUUUAAUGCCUGCAUGUGUGGUGUAGCCCCCACAGCUCUGCCUUGGUUUGCCCUUAGAGGAUCCAUCCCCCCUUGAAAAGGACAAAGCAUGAGCUUUAGUGGGGAAGACACACUUCUAAUUUGGAUUUUUAAGAUGUAAAGAUCUACCUUUAAUCUGGGUCAGACUUUCUGCUGACAGCCUGUAUAAAGAACAUGGAAGAAGAAAGCUUGUCUCUCUCGGCCUGCUUGCCCUUGCUCUCCCGCUAAGGAGGCCCUCACCAGAAGCUGCCCAGAUUGUAGCACCAAGCACCUAGACUCCAGCCGCCAUCUGAGUCACAGAAAGCCAGCCAAGCGUGAAAGCCACCCUUCCCUGAAGAGUUCUUAUUUUUCCUGCAAAAGUACUGAGAAAGAAGGGCUGAGGAUGCGGCUCCAAGGCAGAAGACUUGUCUAGAAUGUGAAAUACCCUGCGUCCCAUCCCAAGCAUCACUAAAUAAAUACAUGAAUGAAUGAA